Panthera uncia (snow leopard) is the source of this 557-nucleotide long non-coding RNA. RefSeq lists it as uncharacterized. The record is from RefSeq and is a predicted model, not a curated record. Lineage: Eukaryota; Metazoa; Chordata; Mammalia; Carnivora; Felidae. The transcript has 3 exons.
CAAGAUCAUGACCUGAGCUAAACCAAGAGCUGGACUCUCAAAUGAGUGAGCCACCCAAACACCCCCACAAACUAAUUUUUAUACACAUAGUCUUCGAAGAGUUUUGAGAGAUAACUGAUACUUCAUUGAGACAGUUCCAUAUGACAAGGCUUAUCGACUCUUCAGAUAAAGAACCUAAGAUUUACAAUGCUUGGGAAUGUGCCCAAGUGCACAGGUCUGGAGCAAGAGGCAGCUACCUUUUCUCCUCUUCUUGCAAUGAUAGAGAAAAACCUUUGCUUUAUGGAGAUGGAAUGGGAAAAAAAAAACCCGAGUUCUCACUCUUACCUUUAGAUACAAAUACACCUUUCCCAGUGCCAGACAAGCCCUGAUGUUCCAGGACUCUCGAACCUAGAGAUGUCUCCAAAGUCUCGUUUUCUGUUGACAUGCAAAUAUACACCUCUUGAUUUAGCUAAAUUUCUCUGGACUUAUAACUUCCCAAGGCUUGUUCUUAUGCUAGGAUCCCAAAUGUAAGCAACAUUUUUUUCAUGAAUCUCCAGCUCUGGCAGGAAUACAUUUUC